RNAcentral lists this ribosomal RNA (500 nucleotides) under uncultured bacterium. Its description in RNAcentral is "partial 16S ribosomal RNA". It matches the Rfam family "Bacterial small subunit ribosomal RNA", at positions 30 to 523 of the family's 1533-position model. The record is from RNAcentral.
AUUGAACGCUGGCGGCAGGCCUAACACAUGCAAGUCGAGCGGAAGACGGGAGCUUGCUCCUUGAUUCAGCGGCGGACGGGUGAGUAAUGCCUAGGAAUCUGCCUGGUAGUGGGGGACAACGUUUCGAAAGGAACGCUAAUACCGCAUACGUCCUACGGGAGAAAGCAGGGGACCUUCGGGCCUUGCGCUAUCAGAUGAGCCUAGGUCGGAUUAGCUUGUUGGUGAGGUAAUGGCUCACCAAGGCGACGAUCCGUAACUGGUCUGAGAGGAUGAUCAGUCACACUGGAACUGAGACACGGUCCAGACUCCUACGGGAGGCAGCAGUGGGGAAUAUUGGACAAUGGGCGAAAGCCUGAUCCAGCCAUGCCGCGUGUGUGAAGAAGGUCUUCGGAUUGUAAAGCACUUUAAGUUGGGAGGAAGGGCAGUAAGCUAAUACCUUGCUGUUUUGACGUUACCGACAGUAUAAGCACCGGCUAACUCUGUGCCAGCCGCCGCAGUAA